AUGCGUCUAGGCGGGGAGCCAGCGGUGCCCUGUACCCGAAAUCCGCUCGAUGCGGGGCCGAAAGCCCGGCCGAGGGUUCGGCUCUCCGGGAGAUGAGAGCGUGUGGAACGUGUCGAAGGCCGGUCCCCGCGCAACGAAGGGCCGUGAACCGGGUCAGGCCUUGACCGGAGCAGCCCUAAGCGCGCUGACUUCGUGUGCCGCGGAUCGGCCGGCCGGAGCGGAAAGCCGUUACUUGCCCGGGAAGUCGUUCUCGACGCCGGGGACGCAU
This 268-nucleotide signal recognition particle RNA is filed under the name Candidatus Hydrogenedentota bacterium. RNAcentral describes it as "Candidatus Hydrogenedentes bacterium signal recognition particle sRNA large type". It matches the Rfam family "Bacterial large signal recognition particle RNA". Rfam says of the family: The signal recognition particle (SRP) is a universally conserved ribonucleoprotein involved in the co-translational targeting of proteins to membranes. Archaeal SRP consists of a 7S RNA and homologues of the eukaryotic SRP19 and SRP54 proteins. In most bacteria, the SRP consists of a 4.5S RNA and the Ffh protein (a homologue of the eukaryotic SRP54 protein). The record is from RNAcentral. Lineage: Bacteria; Pseudomonadati; Candidatus Hydrogenedentota.